AUAUCAACCAAUGAAAGCGACGCUUACUUUUCUUUUUUAUUCCCUAUAAAAGUGAAAGCUGCGCUGUGAUUGGUCGCUAUGCAGUGUUUCUAUUUAGACUGUUAUAAAUCCCUUCCCUAUCAAUACUAACCCCACCUGACACAGGGACCCCAAAUUCUGUGAUCACAUUACAGUCAGAUGGGCCAUUGGGAUCAGUAGUUCUGUUAGGACAGGAGGGGUAGUAAGUACACAUCACAGUGAUGUCUAGUGGUACGCCCCCCCGCACCUGAGAGCUUUGGCUCUCGCUCCCCGCACCUCCAGCUAUUGACUUGCCGUCUGCUGUAUGGACACUUGGAAUAAAGCAUCGUUUGGCAAAUACUUCUCAGUGGGCUUGUUUGUUGUUUCUUUAUUUCCAGAAUCGCCUUGGUCAAACAUCUUAGGCUGAGUUCACACCCCUGUUCUUUCUUCUGUUGUUCCGCUACAUCACAAAAGGAGAAAAAGGAAAAUAAUGUUACUGCCAGAUCUCAACAGCACUCAAUGGACUCUAUAGAGUUUUAUGGGGUCCAUCUGGUAUCCGUCAUCGUAUCCAUCGUUUUACCAAACAACAUAGCAAAGCAUGAACACUUAUAGAUGAGCCUGUAAAUUAAAGGGGAAGAUUAAAUACAGGAGGCAGCACUGUGUACCUGUGUACAUACUACUGCAGCACAACAAACAAGGGGUUAUGCAAACAACUGAAACCACUGCUGCUGAGAUAAGGGUAAAGCUUUGAUUUACCUUUUAUGGACAGUGUACAUCCUCUGGAGAACAGACACAGCUUGUAUUCUUUCUCUAUUUCCUGCACAAUAGUAGUGGCAAAACCCCGCCCCCACUUCUUGUAGUAUGUCUUGCUGUGUCUGUUACUAGAGACGUUCUGGACCUGACAACAGGCAGAGGACAAAAGCUUGUAGGAAGGGAAAAACUUCUUGACCAAGACUUUUGAGCAGUUUUUUUUUAUGGUAAGGUUUGCUUUAUGGUAAACAAAGUGAUUUAGAGAAAUGUUCGGAAUUACAUAUGCUGUCAAAUGGAGCAAAGUUAUUUGAAAUGAAAGGGAACAUUUUAAAAGAAAAGAUUAAAAAAGAGGAAAUAGAGAAUUUGUUUUAGGCAUUAUUGCCCAGCCCUACCUACUACCCUACAGAAGCUUUAA
Long non-coding RNA from Hyla sarda, 1162 nucleotides. RefSeq lists it as uncharacterized. The record is from RefSeq and is a predicted model, not a curated record. Lineage: Eukaryota; Metazoa; Chordata; Amphibia; Anura; Hylidae. The transcript has 3 exons.